GGGUUGUGAGGUUAAGCGACUAAGCGUACACGGUGGAUGCCCUGGCAGUCAGAGGCGAUGAAGGACGUGCUAAUCUGCGAUAAGCGUCGGUAAGGUGAUAUGAACCGUUAUAACCGGCGAUUUCCGAAUGGGGAAACCCAGUGUGAUUCGUCACACUAUCAUUAACUGAAUCCAUAGGUUAAUGAGGCGAACCGGGGGAACUGAAACAUCUAAGUACCCCGAGGAAAAGAAAUCAACCGAGAUUCCCCCAGUAGCGGCGAGCGAACGGGGAGCAGCCCAGAGCCUGAAUCAGUGUGUGUGUUAGUGGAAGCGUCUGGAAAGGCGCGCGAUACAGGGUGACAGCCCCGUACACAAAAAUGCACAUGCUGUGAGCUCGAUGAGUAGGGCGGGACACGUGGUAUCCUGUCUGAAUAUGGGGGGACCAUCCUCCAAGGCUAAAUACUCCUGACUGACCGAUAGUGAACCAGUACCGUGAGGGAAAGGCGAAAAGAACCCCGGCGAGGGGAGUGAAAAAGAACCUGAAACCGUGUACGUACAAGCAGUGGGAGCACGCUUAGGCGUGUGACUGCGUACCUUUUGUAUAAUGGGUCAGCGACUUAUAUUCUGUAGCAAGGUUAACCGAAUAGGGGAGCCGAAGGGAAACCGAGUCUUAACUGGGCGUUAAGUUGCAGGGUAUAGACCCGAAACCCGGUGAUCUAGCCAUGGGCAGGUUGAAGGUUGGGUAACACUAACUGGAGGACCGAACCGACUAAUGUUGAAAAAUUAGCGGAUGACUUGUGGCUGGGGGUGAAAGGCCAAUCAAACCGGGAGAUAGCUGGUUCUCCCCGAAAGCUAUUUAGGUAGCGCCUCGUGAAUUCAUCUCCGGGGGUAGAGCACUGUUUCGGCAAGGGGGUCAUCCCGACUUACCAACCCGAUGCAAACUGCGAAUACCGGAGAAUGUUAUCACGGGAGACACACGGCGGGUGCUAACGUCCGUCGUGAAGAGGGAAACAACCCAGACCGCCAGCUAAGGUCCCAAAGUCAUGGUUAAGUGGGAAACGAUGUGGGAAGGCCCAGACAGCCAGGAUGUUGGCUUAGAAGCAGCCAUCAUUUAAAGAAAGCGUAAUAGCUCACUGGUCGAGUCGGCCUGCGCGGAAGAUGUAACGGGGCUAAACCAUGCACCGAAGCUGCGGCAGCGACACUAUGUGUUGUUGGGUAGGGGAGCGUUCUGUAAGCCUGUGAAGGUGUACUGUGAGGUAUGCUGGAGGUAUCAGAAGUGCGAAUGCUGACAUAAGUAACGAUAAAGCGGGUGAAAAGCCCGCUCGCCGGAAGACCAAGGGUUCCUGUCCAACGUUAAUCGGGGCAGGGUGAGUCGACCCCUAAGGCGAGGCCGAAAGGCGUAGUCGAUGGGAAACAGGUUAAUAUUCCUGUACUUGGUGUUACUGCGAAGGGGGGACGGAGAAGGCUAUGUUGGCCGGGCGACGGUUGUCCCGGUUUAAGCGUGUAGGCUGGUUUUCCAGGCAAAUCCGGAAAAUCAAGGCUGAGGCGUGAUGACGAGGCACUACGGUGCUGAAGCAACAAAUGCCCUGCUUCCAGGAAAAGCCUCUAAGCAUCAGGUAACAUCAAAUCGUACCCCAAACCGACACAGGUGGUCAGGUAGAGAAUACCAAGGCGCUUGAGAGAACUCGGGUGAAGGAACUAGGCAAAAUGGUGCCGUAACUUCGGGAGAAGGCACGCUGAUAUGUAGGUGAAGUCCCUCGCGGAUGGAGCUGAAAUCAGUCGAAGAUACCAGCUGGCUGCAACUGUUUAUUAAAAACACAGCACUGUGCAAACACGAAAGUGGACGUAUACGGUGUGACGCCUGCCCGGUGCCGGAAGGUUAAUUGAUGGGGUUAGCGCAAGCGAAGCUCUUGAUCGAAGCCCCGGUAAACGGCGGCCGUAACUAUAACGGUCCUAAGGUAGCGAAAUUCCUUGUCGGGUAAGUUCCGACCUGCACGAAUGGCGUAAUGAUGGCCAGGCUGUCUCCACCCGAGACUCAGUGAAAUUGAACUCGCUGUGAAGAUGCAGUGUACCCGCGGCAAGACGGAAAGACCCCGUGAACCUUUACUAUAGCUUGACACUGAACAUUGAGCCUUGAUGUGUAGGAUAGGUGGGAGGCUUUGAAGUGUGGACGCCAGUCUGCAUGGAGCCGACCUUGAAAUACCACCCUUUAAUGUUUGAUGUUCUAACGUUGACCCGUGAUCCGGGUUGCGGACAGUGUCUGGUGGGUAGUUUGACUGGGGCGGUCUCCUCCUAAAGAGUAACGGAGGAGCACGAAGGUUGGCUAAUCCUGGUCGGACAUCAGGAGGUUAGUGCAAUGGCAUAAGCCAGCUUGACUGCGAGCGUGACGGCGCGAGCAGGUGCGAAAGCAGGUCAUAGUGAUCCGGUGGUUCUGAAUGGAAGGGCCAUCGCUCAACGGAUAAAAGGUACUCCGGGGAUAACAGGCUGAUACCGCCCAAGAGUUCAUAUCGACGGCGGUGUUUGGCACCUCGAUGUCGGCUCAUCACAUCCUGGGGCUGAAGUAGGUCCCAAGGGUAUGGCUGUUCGCCAUUUAAAGUGGUACGCGAGCUGGGUUUAGAACGUCGUGAGACAGUUCGGUCCCUAUCUGCCGUGGGCGCUGGAGAACUGAGGGGGGCUGCUCCUAGUACGAGAGGACCGGAGUGGACGCAUCACUGGUGUUCGGGUUGUCAUGCCAAUGGCACUGCCCGGUAGCUAAAUGCGGAAGAGAUAAGUGCUGAAAGCAUCUAAGCACGAAACUUGCCCCGAGAUGAGUUCUCCCUGACUCCUUGAGAGUCCUGAAGGAACGUUGAAGACGACGACGUUGAUAGGCCGGGUGUGUAAGCGCAGCGAUGCGUUGAGCUAACCGGUACUAAUGAACCGUGAGGCUUAACCUUACAACGCCGAAGGUGUUU
Molecule: ribosomal RNA, 2930 nt
Filed under: Escherichia coli
Lineage: Bacteria; Pseudomonadati; Pseudomonadota; Gammaproteobacteria; Enterobacterales; Enterobacteriaceae
Description: 23S ribosomal RNA
Rfam family: Bacterial large subunit ribosomal RNA
Source: RNAcentral